RNAcentral lists this long non-coding RNA (403 nucleotides) under Oreochromis niloticus (Nile tilapia). Its description in RNAcentral is "lncRNA (ENSONIG00000038032.1)". The record is from RNAcentral. Lineage: Eukaryota; Metazoa; Chordata; Actinopteri; Cichliformes; Cichlidae.
GACGACCAACAGCGUCGGAGUGUCCUCACAGGCCGAGAACUGGCUGGAGGCGGAGUCAGAGUGUAGCAGGAGGGACUUCCUCUGAGCCGAGGGCAAUAUGCUGCUGACUUCCUGCUCUGACGCCUGUGGUCUCAAUCUGCUCUGGUGCCUCCUGAUCGUACUCAAAGCCCUGCCAGCAGCUCUCGGGGGUGACUUGUCUGAACCAUGUGGUGGGCGGGACUGCUCCACCUGUCAGUGUUUCCCAGCCAAGGGAGCAAGGGUGAGACUCCGCCCACUAACUGUAACACACACGAACAGCAGCAAACCACAGCGCAGCUGCACACUCUUCAGUGUCAACAAACCUCAGACUCCUUCAGUGGCAGCUCAGAACACACACACACACACACACACACACACACAGUGA